This 497-nucleotide ribosomal RNA is filed under the name uncultured bacterium. RNAcentral describes it as "partial 16S ribosomal RNA". It matches the Rfam family "Bacterial small subunit ribosomal RNA", at positions 28 to 507 of the family's 1533-position model. The record is from RNAcentral.
GAUGAACGCUGGCGGCGUGCCUAAUACAUGCAAGUCGAGAGAACAGAUGAGGAGCUUGCUCCUCUGACGUUAGCGGCGGACGGGUGAGUAACACGUGGAUAACCUACCUAUAAGACUGGGAUAACUUCGGGAAACCGGAGCUAAUACCGGAUAAUAUAUUGAACCGCAUGGUUCAAUAGUGAAAGACGGUUUUGCUGUCACUUAUAGAUGGAUCCGCGCCGCAUUAGCUAGUUGGUAAGGUAACGGCUUACCAAGGCAACGAUGCGUAGCCGACCUGAGAGGGUGAUCGGCCACACUGGAACUGAGACACGGUCCAGACUCCUACGGGAGGCAGCAGUAGGGAAUCUUCCGCAAUGGGCGAAAGCUUGACGGAGCAACGCCGCGUGAGUGAUGAAGGUCUUCGGAUCGUAAAACUCUGUUAUUAGGGAAGAACAAAUGUGUAAGUAACUAUGCACGUCUUGACGGUACCUAAUCAGAAAGCCACGGCUAACUACGUG